GCUGCCUCUAGAAACAUAGCAGGUAUGGCUACUGUGUCCUUUUGCAACCAUAGGUGGCAGAGAGGAGAAAGGCAAUGUGUAUGCUCAGUAUCUGAUCUAGGAACAUCUGAGUGAUUAGUAGCCUAACAUU
Molecule: small nucleolar RNA, 130 nt
Organism: Mastomys coucha (southern multimammate mouse)
Lineage: Eukaryota; Metazoa; Chordata; Mammalia; Rodentia; Muridae
Product: small nucleolar RNA SNORA17
Exons: 1
Source: RefSeq, a predicted model, not a curated record